This 494-nucleotide ribosomal RNA is filed under the name uncultured bacterium. RNAcentral's name for it is "partial 16S ribosomal RNA". It matches the Rfam family "Bacterial small subunit ribosomal RNA", at positions 28 to 507 of the family's 1533-position model. The record is from RNAcentral.
GACGAACGCUGGCGGCGCGCUUAACACAUGCAAGUCGAACGGAAAGGCCUGCUUUCCCUUGUGGAUUGCGGGUACUCGAGUGGCGAACGGGUGAGUAACACGUGAGUGAUCUGCCCCCAACUUGGGUAUAAGCCUGGGAAACUGGGUCUAAUUCCCGAUAGGACUGCAGGGUGGUGCCUGUGGUGGAAAACGAUUUUCUAGUGGUUGGGGAUGAGCUCGCGGCCUAUCAGCUUGUUGGUGGGGUAAUGGCCUACCAAGGCGGCGACGGGUAGCCGGCCUGAGAGGGUGGACGGCCACAGUGGGACUGAGAUACGGCCCAGACUCCUACGGGAGGCAGCAGUGGGGAAUAUGGCACAAUGGGCGGAAGCCUGAUGCAGCGACGCCGCGUGGGGGAUGACGGCCUUCGGGUUGUAAACUCCUUUCGACCGCGAGGAAGCCACCUGGUUGGAAGGGUGGUGACGGUAGUGGUAGAAGAAGCACCGGCUAACUACGUG